Long non-coding RNA from Scleropages formosus (Asian bonytongue), 1717 nucleotides. The record is from Ensembl. NCBI's taxonomy places the organism in Eukaryota, Metazoa, Chordata, Actinopteri, Osteoglossiformes, Osteoglossidae.
UUUCUUAUAGAGCUGAUAGAGUUCCAGCCCUGGCAGAACAUUGGGCUGAAGAGCCUGUGGUCUGGAAAUGAGAGAGAUUCUGUGGUCCAGCUGGCAGAGGAGGAGGAAGAGGAAGAUGAGAAGGAAGACUUGGAGAGUCCAAAUCCAUCCACAGAGGAGUGUGCCUGGGAACCACAAAGGAACGUGGACCCUGGGAAGCAAGCCCCAACAUUCAGCCUCCUCCUGUGGUUACAGGAAGCAUUGCUGUGCAACCUCCUGAAGCACGUGGGGCUCAUUUACCAUGAUGUCUUCCACAUGCGUUUCAUAUCCUACCUGCUCCUGCCCUACACCUUGCCCAUUUAUACAAGUUUUUUGUUCAGUUACAGAUUGUUCCAGUUCCUGAGACUCCUCUCAGAAAUGGCCUUCUGGCAAGACGUAAAGCAGGUCUCCCUGUUCAUCACAAACAUCAUAAUGUCCAGCCUGAGGAAGAACAUGGAACACUGGUUCUUUCCUUCAUUCCUCUUGAGCCCUGGACAGAAGAUUCUGGCGAUGUACGACGGACCGACAGAAAUCGAGCCGGCACACCUGCUCUCCACCCUGCAGUUCCAUCUCUCCAGUCAUUCUGACAAACCCCAAACGGAGCCCCCAGUUUCAAGGAUGCUGCUCAGCCUAGAGCUGGAGGUGGACAGAAGGACUAGGGCUCCUGCCCUUGUGUGUGGACCCAACACGGAGAACUAGGGGAAGGGCACAUCUCCCUAAGUGUCACAUCUUUUAGUAGUUCUGAUGCAUUUAUUCAUUCAGCUUUUCUCUAACGUAACUUACAGCAUUAAGCUACUGACAACUGUUCACCCAUUUACUCAGAUGGGUAAUUUUACUAAAGCAAUUAAGGGUAAGUACUCUACUCAAGGGUACGACAGCAACAGGUGAGAUUCAAACCACCAGCUUUCAGAUACAAAUACAGCAGCUAUAACCACUGGACUAUCAGCUACCCCAGUAACAUAAUAAGUACCACAGAGUGUUGAUUAUUUGGCUUAAAUGGUAGUAUUUCAGAUAAACCACUAACUAAAGACAGAAAUAACAGAACCAUGCAGUGCUGUGAAGUACACUCCAUGAAAAGGUGUUUGUUUUUCAGCAUAUUUGAAUGUAAAAUGAGCUAUAUGUAUUUUUUAAAACUAUAACUGAAAGUGAAACAAUCAAACAAGAGUUUUCGCAUUGUCACAAAUCAAGACAUAAUCAGCGAAGGCAAAAAAAAAGAAGACACAUGGAAGUUUCUGUGUGAAAUAAGAUGUUUAGAGAGGGUGAAUGUUAGUCCUUGAUACACGCGCAAUGCACACAGUCCUAAGCUGUCCGGGUAUUUUACAAAAUAUGUGACAUACAAGACAGGAUAACUGAACACAAGAUAACUGGCGCUCUACUGUAAUAAUAGUAUUAAUACUACUAGUUAUAACACCAUACAUGUUACUGGGUGUACAUAAUAAUGACUUUCUGUGAAAUGUAAUCUACAUGUUUAAUUGGGGAAGGAAGGUGCUUGGAGAUGGUGGCAUGUUUCAUAAGUUAUGAAAUUAUUUCUGGAUGUACUGGUUAUACUUAGUGUGGCAGGGAUAAGUAGAGAGAAGGCAAAUGUAACGAGCUUAGACCACAUAUCUGUUAUUAACUGUUCCCAGCGCUGCUCUUUUAAUGGCAAAAGGGUGCCGAGCACAGACGAGGUGGUUAAAUGCACUUCUGAGAAUGGAAUUUG